Alosa alosa (allis shad) is the source of this 528-nucleotide long non-coding RNA. RefSeq lists it as uncharacterized. The transcript is spliced from 4 exons. NCBI's taxonomy places the organism in Eukaryota, Metazoa, Chordata, Actinopteri, Clupeiformes, Clupeidae. The record is from RefSeq and is a predicted model, not a curated record.
GUGAAGCGGAGGAGGGGAGAGACAACGUUGUCCCGCAACUACAACAUACAGGUAGAAGUAGUAUGACUUCUGAGCUGCAAUUGGAUAACGUCAACGUCUCUGAUAACGGUUCGCAUCAAGAAUCUUGGAGGUUUUGCGCCAUCUAGAGGCUAUUGGCUAUAAACAUUACAAAAGUACUAGGCCUACAGAGAGUAUUCCUCAAAAUGUAGCCUAUGUAUAGAAAAUUCAGCGAAACUUCUGUUCAUCACCACACUGGCCACUCCUUUUAGAUCGGGCAGACAUUCCUUAUCGCCAGGAUGAAGAAGUUCAAAAUCUCGCAGCAGUGCCCUAUAUACAGGGAGAUGAGUGACCGUAGACUCACCUGCUAUUCCUGAUGGCUCUGUGAGGCACAGCCAGUGGGGCUACAGGUCUCAGUCUGAGCACCUCACUGAUGAGAGCAGACAGUACCUCUGGUCUGUGGAGGAGGAAAGCCACAGUCCAGCUCAGCCAGGCCGCUGUGGUCUCCGUCCCACCAAUUAACAGAUCCAC